Molecule: ribosomal RNA, 483 nt
Filed under: uncultured bacterium
Lineage: Bacteria
Description: partial 16S ribosomal RNA
Rfam family: Bacterial small subunit ribosomal RNA
Source: RNAcentral
GAUGAACGCUGGCGGCGUGCUUAACACAUGCAAGUCGAACGGUGAAGCAGGAGCUUGCUCUUGUGGAUCAGUGGCGAACGGGUGAGUAACACGUGAGCAACCUGCCCCUGACUCUGGAUAAGCGCUGGAAACGGCGUCUAAUACUGGAUAUGUGAUGUGACCGCAUGGUCUGCAUCUGGAAAGAAUUUCGGUUGGGGAUGGGCUCGCGGCCUAUCAGCUUGUUGGUGAGGUAAUGGCUCACCAAGGCGUCGACGGGUAGCCGGCCUGAGAGGGGGACCGGCCACACUGGGACUGAGACACGGCCCAGACUCCUACGGGAGGCAGCAGUGGGGGAUAUUGCACAAUGGGCGGAAGCCUGAUGCAGCAACGCCGCGUGAGGGAUGACGGCCUUCGGGUUGUAAACCUCUUUUAGCAGGGAAGAAGCGAAAGUGACGGUACCUGCAGAAAAAGCACCGGCUAACUACGUGCCAGCCGCCGCCGUAA